Molecule: long non-coding RNA, 2015 nt
Filed under: Triticum aestivum (bread wheat)
Lineage: Eukaryota; Viridiplantae; Streptophyta; Magnoliopsida; Poales; Poaceae
Description: long non-coding RNA (TAES_LNC016841)
Source: RNAcentral
UAAAAAUGAACAAUCCAACAAUCUAUUGUUUUAAGAAUUGGUCAUAGUAAUGAAAAAUAAUGUUCUUAUAUGAAUUCUUCUACAAAAUUGUAACAAUGGAACACAUAUGAGAGAAAGAAUUGGGCAGCAUUUCUAUUGAAUUUUGGACAGCACUUCAAUUGAACUUUACACAGGAAAACAUCAAAUAUUGACAGCCAAACAAGGAAAUUUUGCAUAGCAUAACACUUACCACUUUGACAUAAAACUGAGAAAAUGUUAACAGCCAAACAAUGACUAGUGAAAACCACAUAAUACAAAGUUCAUAGUUCAUCACAAGUUCACAACAACAUUGUUGAAAGUGCAUGGUUCAUCACAACAUCAUUCAAGGUCCAUAGUUCAUCACAACAGCACACAUAAUUCGAAGUUCAUCACAACAAAAGAAAUGGCACGAGAUGAUCACGUUGACCUCAACAAUCCACAUGAGAAGAUCAUGUAGACAUCCAUCUUAGAAAUAGCAAGAGCAACACCCACAUGGCGAAUAUCGACAUGUAACACAGAUUUGUAAACUUGAUAUUCUCAAUAUGUCAAGAUAGGAAAACUGAGACAUGUAAAAACAUUAGUUACCAAUUGUUGUCACCCCCCACAUCAAAAAUCUUGGGCAACUUGAUAUUCUCAACAUCGUCCUCCUCAUCUUCGUCCCUCUCCUAAUUAUUUGUAAGUUAGCCACAUACAAGUAAUAUACAGAAAUCAUAGAAGAAAAAGAUAGGAACCAUACCACCACAUUGAAGUCCUUGUGAGAACCUUUGAUAUAACUAGCACCGCACACCAAGGCUUCCACCAUUUCUGGUUUCAAAGAACUCCUGUAGUCAUCUAAAACCACACAAGUAGACAUAUCUAAGUUUAAGCAUAGGAUGACAAGUUGACAAGCUAACAUCCAAUGUAACAAGUAGACAUACCUAAAACUCUUCCACCCGUGCUGAAAGUUGAUUCCGAAGACACGGAGGUAGCCGGGACAGUCAAGAACCUCUUUGCCAUCAUUGCCAAUACGGGGUAUCUAGGUGCAUUCACCCUCCACCAAUCAAGAAGAUUGAACAUAGGAUCCAUUGCCUCAUUCAAGUCAUCUAGAUAGUUUCUAAGCUCACUUUUUGAUGGUGUUGAUGAAGUGGCUGAUAAGAAGGACUGAAACUCACAAUCCAUAAGUGGCAUCGAGGUACUUGUGUUGCAAUUGUUCUUGGCUGAAUCUGAUUUGUCACCAACCCAUCUGAAUCUGAUUUGUCACCAACCCCAGGCGGCACCACAAACAGAGUAUCUUGCUCUUCCUCGUCCUCCUCCUCAUCCUCUUCCACCUCUUCAUGAUCCUCCUCCGCUUGCUUAUCAUGCUCCAUUGCCUAGCACACAAAAACAGCACACAUGAGCUUGGACACACAUAUAUUUGACUUAUGGAUAGCAAAAACAUCACACACAUGAGCUUGGACACACAUAUAUUUGACUUAUGGAUAGCAAAAACAACACAUACAUGAGCUUGGACACACAUAUAUUUGACUUUUGGAUAGCAAAAACAGCAACACACAUGAGCUUGCACAAAAAUAUAUUUGACAUUUGGAUACCAAAAAGAGCACACACAUGAGCUUGGACAAACAUAUAUUUGACAUUUGGAUACCAAAAACAGAACAUAUGAGCUUGGGCACACAUAAAUUUGACUUUCAAAAAGCAAAAACAGCAUAUACACAAGCUUGCACAAAUAUAUAUUUUGCACGUACAUACCUGCGAAGAUGUAGCCUCCCUCUCAUAGUAGUUUGCGGAGCCGGAGGCAACGGCGAUUCCGGCAAGCACGCCAGCGCCGGUGGGGUCAGGGAGACGUCGAGGCGGAGGUUUCUUUUUUACCCUAUACAACAACUCAGCGAUUGGGACAUUGCUGGAAUCAUUUGUCAACUUCAUCGGCAGCCGUGUAGUAGCUGCUGCAUUGCCCUUCCCAUUCCCCUUGUGCAUCCCCGAGACCGGCAACUUUCUCUUCAUAAUGGAGUCCAACGUCCUCU